Long non-coding RNA from Phyllostomus discolor (pale spear-nosed bat), 397 nucleotides. RefSeq lists it as uncharacterized. Lineage: Eukaryota; Metazoa; Chordata; Mammalia; Chiroptera; Phyllostomidae. The transcript has 2 exons. The record is from RefSeq and is a predicted model, not a curated record.
AGCGCGGGGACGCCCGACGCCGCCUCCCAGCCCUCCGCGCCCACCUCCCUCCCUGCCACCGGGACUGACCGCGGGGGGGCGCUGCGGCAUGCUGGACCGCUCAGUGCUGUGGCUUCCGGUAACCUAAGGGCGGGGGCGUGGUACCUGGCCACUGAGCCGAGUGGGCAGCGAUUUUCUUACUUGUAAAGAGUAAGUGCUGUGUUUUGUGUUUUAUUAAGGUAAAAAUCCCGUAACCCACGUUUUUGACAGAAAUUGAAAAAUACAGGAAACUAGAAAUCACCUUUCACCCCAAACACCUGGUGAGAUACGCAGAAAUAAUGUAUAUACAUAGGCAUGUACAAGAAUCUCUGAAACCUCUUCUUCCUGCACCAAACACAUAAAAAUGAAAUUCUUAAAA